Molecule: long non-coding RNA, 1296 nt
Filed under: Ananas comosus (pineapple)
Lineage: Eukaryota; Viridiplantae; Streptophyta; Magnoliopsida; Poales; Bromeliaceae
Description: long non-coding RNA (ACOM_LNC031627)
Source: RNAcentral
UGUGGAACCUAGAGUUAACUAAACCUAGGUGAGUGGCAUUCGAACAUAGUGUAAAGAAACACAUUGAUGCAGUGAACUUACGGAUAGGUGGGUUUUCCCUAGAAGUGGCAUAUUGAGAUGUUACCCGCUUCAUUUAUUUCUUUUUGUCUUAAACUUUGCUGGAAAUGUAAAUCAACUAGGAUUCGAACGUGAGACCUCGAGUACCAACAACCAAGCCUUUUGCCACUUGCGCUAGCGACUAUUAGUUAUGUAUAUUUUAAUUUUUUAUAUUUUAAGUCUUCUAUUUCAAAAUUUCAAAAUUUUAAAUUUCAAAAUUUUAAAUUUAGAUACUAAAUAUAAAUUUUUAAUUUUGAAAUAUGAAAUUUAAGUUUCAAAAUUAAUAGUUUUAAAUUUGAAAUUUGAAAUUUAAAAUAAAUUUAAAAAUUGAAAAUUUAAAAUUUGAAAUUGAUNAUAUAUUAAUAAUUAUAUAUUAAGUAGUAAUUAUAUUUAGUAACAAGUGCUGCUAGUUUAUUAUAUUUAGCAGUAUUCAAUAAUUUAUGCUGCUAAUUUAUCCUAUUUUGCAACAAUAAUAGUAAAUUGCUGCUAAAUAAGUAAAUCUAGCGGCAAUUAUCAAGUAUUGCUGCUAAAUAUAUUAAUUGACAUGAUUUAAAUAAAUAUUGCAGAGAAAAUAUUGCGGCAUUUAGCAAUAAGUGCUGCUACUUUAUUACAUUUAGUGUCAUUUUUUAUAAAAUACUGGAAACUUCGGCGGCAUUUACUAAUUUAUAUUGCUAAUUUAAUCUAUUUUGCAACAUUACUAGUAAAUUGCUGCUAAAUUAUUUAAUUUAUCGGCACUUAUCAAGUAAUGCUGUUAAAUAUAUUAAUUAGUGUUAUUUAAAUAAAUACUGCAAAGUAAAUACCGCUAAAUCAUAAAUUUGUAGUAGUGGGUAGCGCCCUACCCCCAGAGACCAGAGAUAGUAGUACCCCGAGUCAACAUAGCUUAGGGGUGUAGUGAAAGAAAAGAACAAAAAUGUAUUAAAGAAAUAAAUGAUGUAAUAACUUGAUCGCAUUUGGAAGUUGAUUGUAAGAAAAAAUGAGAUGUAAAAUAUAUGAUUGUGAAUGCUUGUAAUAGCUUAGGAUAUGUUUAUAUUGUUUGAUACCUUCCAUUAUGCAAUCAGUGUACGAAUAUUGUUCCUGUUUGGAACCUAUUGUAUUGUACUGUUUGUUGAGCCUUGAACGUAUAGGGGAGAUUCUGUCCGCAGUACAGAGGAAACCCUGUCCGUUCGGCGAUGUCGGCGGUCCGAACCCGGCCAAAUAGGU